Molecule: long non-coding RNA, 2557 nt
Organism: Mytilus californianus (California mussel)
Lineage: Eukaryota; Metazoa; Mollusca; Bivalvia; Mytilida; Mytilidae
Exons: 3
Source: RefSeq, a predicted model, not a curated record
CGACGAGCUCUACAUUUUAUACAUUAAGCUCAAAAAUGUCCGACCGUCUGUUCAAAAGUUACAUUAACAUAAUUCUAAAAACUAUAGUAACAUAUGUAUAUCUUUUUAAAGGUAACAGAUAUCAACCUUCUAUAAACUGGAAAGAUGAUCAGUAGUUCAAGACCUUCAAUUUGAGGUCAAUUUCAGGUCAUGAUGAAAUUUAAUCUUGACCUUCAGAGUGUACCAUGACCUUGACAUUGUGACAUUUGAAAGGUCAAGUGGUCCUGAGUUGAAUGGUGGUAGUCCCAUGUCUCUACGACUUCCGGUUCUCAAGUUUGAUAUUGCAUCAUAUAUUUGAUAAUUCAUUGUGACCUUGAUGAACUUUGGAAUUGUCCAAAUUUUUUUUUAAAAUGUUGUCCUUUUACUGCAGAGCAUUUUUCUUUUAACAGAUUUGAGAUAUCUGUUGUCAUUUAAGAGAUAAUGCAGUUUGAAAUUUUGCGAGCGGAGGCAUGUAUUUCUGAUUUAACAACAGUUUACCACCUGAAAUUUUCAGAAAUUAAAGAGUUCAUCAUGGUUAUAUGUUUGAUUAAAUACCAAAAACAUUCAAUGAAAAAAAACCCCAUAAAAUUAAAUUUAUAUUUUUUAUGUUUUGCAUUUACUUUGUAAGUUUCAUAAUUUCUAUUUAUACAAUUGAUAUUGCAUCAUUUUUGGCACUUUGCCAAAUGAGGUCAUUUGAUAUAUCAAAUUGAAGGUCUUAACGAGCUCUACUCAAAAAUGAAAAUGUUAAACCCCUUUUUUAUCCUAGGGGGAAGGGUGGGGUCAUUUAGUGCAAAAAAUUCAAACUUCUCAGAUGGUUAGGUUGUCGCAUAUCAAAUGAAAGUCCAUAAAGCGUACAUUUCAAAUAUCAAAUUGACGUCCCCAAAAAAUGGGUUGGGUGGGGUCAUUGAGUGCAAAAAAUAUAAUUUUCUUUUAAGGUAAGGUUGUUGUAUUUUAAAUGAAAGGUCGUAACGUGUACAUUUCAAAUAUCAGAUUCCUGUCCUCAAAAAAUAAGUUGGAUGGGGUUAUUAAGUGCAGAAAUCAAACUUUCUAGAACAUGGCGUUGUCGCAUAUCAAAUGAAAGAUAAUCAAGUCUAGAUUACAUAUAUCAUACUUCCGAUAUCAAAAAUGUAGGCGGAUGGGGUCAUUAAGUGUAAAAAGUGAAAAUUUUUAGAAGGUAUGCUUGUCGUAUAUCAAAUGAAAGGUCUUAAAGAGUACAUUACAAAAACAUCACUUUGCAGGAAAGACCUUUCAAUUGUUUUUCAAACAAUUGAGAUACUAGUUCUUUUUUUUUUUUUUCUUUUUUUUCUUCCAACAUUUUUUUAACAUGCCCUACCCCCGUUUCUGUUGAAGUUAUCAAGACCAAAUAUGGACCAUCGAUAGACCUCAUCAUGAAGUAUAACCAGAUGACCCUGUUAAGGAUUUCAUCAACCCCUUUAGAAGUUAUCUUCCUUUUAUUGGUUUUUUUCGACAUGGCCCCCCCUCGUUGUUUUUUAAGAUAACAUGUCUUUAUGUGGGCAAUAGGUAGAUCUCAUUAUGAUGUAUUACCAUAUGAGGCUGCGUAGAAUUUCAUCAUCCCUUUUGAGAGUUAUAUCCCUUUGAAGCAAUUUCUUUUAUUUGCAUUUUUUUUCAAAAGUGUUAGAGAUAGAAUCGAUUUGAAAAUGGCAGCAUGUACAAGAACAGAUGGCAAUGUUAAUAAACAUAAACAAUUAUUUUGAUAUUAACCUUUAUAAGGAGUUAUUCCCCUUUAAAAAUUAUACACAAUUUAAAAAAAAUUCUAUUUCGAGAACUGGAAGUCGUAGAAAGUUGGGAUCUUCACCAAUAAUCUUAAAUUCAUGUGACCUUUAAUUUGCACCCAAGGUCAAAGGUCACCGAGUGCGAAAAAAAAUUACGCUGCAAUUUCAAGCUUGCAUAUUAAGAAAACGAUAGGAGUUUGCUGCAUACAUACUGUGUAUAAAAUGUUCCUCUCGACAAGCUCUACAUUUUAUACAUUAAGCUCAAACAUGUCCGACCGUCUGUUCAAAAGUUACAUCAAGAUAAUUCUUAAAAGUAUAGUAUUGUGUGAAUAUAUUUUAAAUGGUAACAUAUAACAACCUACUAUAAACUGCAAAUAUGAUCAGUAAUUCAAGACCUUCAAUUUGAGGUCAAUGCCAGGUCAUGAUGAAAUUUUACCUUGACCUUUUAUGUGUACUAUGACCUUGACCUUGUGACAUUUGAAAGGUCAAGUGGUCCUGAGUUGAAUGGUGGUAGUCCUAUGUCUCUACGACUUCCGGUUCUCAAGUUUGAUAUUGCAUCAUAUAUUUGAUAAUUCAUUGUGACCUUGAUGAACUUCAGAAUUGUCCAAAAAAAUGUCUCAAAUGUUGUCCUUUUACUGCAGAUCAUUUUUCUUUUAACAGAUUUGAGAUAUCUGUUGUCGUUUAAGAGAUAAUGCAGUUUGAAAUUUUGCGAGCGGAGGCAUGUAUUUCUAAAUGAACAACAGUUUACCACCUGAAAUUUUCAGAAAUUAAAGAGUUCAACAUGGUUAUAUGUUUGAUCAAAUACC